RNAcentral lists this ribosomal RNA (253 nucleotides) under uncultured bacterium. Its description in RNAcentral is "partial 16S ribosomal RNA". It matches the Rfam family "Bacterial small subunit ribosomal RNA", at positions 524 to 776 of the family's 1533-position model. The record is from RNAcentral.
GACGUAGGGCGCGAGCGUUGUCCGGAUUUAUUGGGCGUAAAGAGCUCGUAGGCGGCUUGUCGCGUCGACUGUGAAAACCCGCGGCUCAACUGCGGGCCUGCAGUCGAUACGGGCAGGCUAGAGUUCGGUAGGGGAGACUGGAAUUCCUGGUGUAGCGGUGAAAUGCGCAGAUAUCAGGAGGAACACCGGUGGCGAAGGCGGGUCUCUGGGCCGAUAAUGACGCUGAGGAGCGAAAGCGUGGGGAGCGAACAGG